AAUAAAUAAAUAUGUUCUAUGUGGAAUAUUAUUAUAUUCUUUGCUAGCACCAAGAAUAUAAUUAAUAUAUAGAUAAAUAAAAUAAAAUAUUUUUCUUUGGACGUGGAAGUUAGUCCACGAGAAUGUUUGCUAAACAUUUGCAAACAUAUGGGUACAUGCAGCAACUUACAGGAGGGAUGUGGGUUUUGUUUUUAACUUACAAGACUUGGUCAAAGUGUUUUUCAAAUGCUAUUGAAAAUAGCAAAAGAAAAACAAAUGGACCAAUAGAAUCUCUUAGUAGCCCAAAAAAAAGGAGGACACGAUAGAGAUAGAUUAAGUGAUAAAAUCAAAAAAAUCAAAUUAGUUGAGUUAUCUUAUCACUUAAAACAGAAGUUGUAUCGGAUAUGCUAUAUAGCAUAUAUACACAAUCUGAAUAAGGAUCGAUCUAUCUUUAUCCUCCUUGUUUUUACGCCAAAGAAAUACAAAGUGUUGUUCUAUUUUUUUUUAAGUUCCGCGUAUCAAAGGGUUGAUAGCAAAGAUUAAUUUCGGUGUGGAUACACGUAGAGUCUUCAUACAAUUGGAGAAAAAUUUAUGCUUGAAGAAUUGAUAUCCAGGUUAUUAUUUUAAAUUUUUUGAUAGCUGCGGUAUAUAUUUUGAAUGCAAAAUAGAUCAAUUUCCCGCUGUAUGUGUUAUAAAUUUAUUUUAUAACCUUUGAAUUGCAUCCUAUUGGCUAGCCUCCUCAUACCCGUUAUGGCAUACCUCUCCUUCAUCUUUCUUAGCCGAUGACCACCUCUCUUUUCUUUAGGCUCGGGAUCAGAAACUGGAAAAGGUUUAGGUUGUUUUGCAGGAGGUGGCUCCUGCCAUUUCUCAAUCUUCUUAAGGAUCUCUAUUCAAUGGAGUUCAAAAACUUAAACAAUAUGGUCUGAAGGCAUGACAUGGACGAUUUCUGAUUAAAGUUCCGAUGAUUCAAGUAGGAGACGUUCUCAUGGGGGAGAAUCCGAAACAGCGUCUAUGCCCUGAGUCACAAAUUUGUCUAGGAAUUUCAGAUAUAGCAGAUGCUCAGAGGAGAGUGCUUCUUCUUCAACCACAUCUUUCAUUGCUUGAACAUCCUUCCCAAUUGCAUAAUUUGCAUAGAGCUGAUUGGAUACAUCGGGUCAUGCCCUCACCAAUGUCACUCUUCAUUAAACGAGACAGUGAUGGGAGGACAUUGAUUGGUGGGUAUACCUGUCGAUUGUGGAGCUGUUUGUCAAUGUAAAUCUGGUCCUCAGUGGGAGCGGGAUGUGUUAUAUCAUCAUAGGGCAUAGUUAAAAUCGGGAUUUGUGUAAUGGGACCCUUCCUUCUUUCAAUACGUCCAGGCUCCAGCACGUUCGUAAAUUGUCGCCAGAUCAGCACACAUAUACCCAGGAUACCCACGCCUUCCGGGAACUUCUUCUCGGGCAGCAGAUACCUCAUAAAGAGCAUCUGCAUCAGAACUCAUAUCUGCUAGUAUGACAAGAACAUGUUUGCCACAUUCAUAUGCUAAAUAUUCAGCAGUGGUGAGAGCAAUGCGAAGAGUGAUGAUGUGUUCAAUGGUGGGGUCGUUGACCAGGUUGAGGAAUGGAGUCACUCUCUCCAUUGAUCUAUUUUCCUCGAAAUCACGUUUUUGAAAAAAAAAGCUGUGCAGUCUCCAUGUUUCCUCCCAUAGCUGCAAAAAAAAAACAAUGGCAAAGUUGUCCUCUUCCACGUCCUGUAGGAGACUUCCAGACUUCACAUUAUAUCCGAAUGUGGAAACGCCAACACAUCUUCAGCAUGUACUCAACCAACCCGAACGUGAAGCUCGAUAGUCCCCUCAUCAUCCAUUGAUGUCACAGUAUCUAGAGGGGAAGAACCAUCCAGAACAAUUGCAAAUCUUGAUGGUGAGAGAGCCACGAAGUUGGGAUCCUCGCUGAUCAUCACCGCAUGCAUUGACGCGCGUGGACGAUAAGGGAGCCAGGUGUGUCUGCUCAUGUCAAUUCCGACGUGAUUGGCAAAGCGUAAAGGACAUGGAGAGCCCCAUAAGCAACCUCCUUCAUGUCGGGAACUGAGACUCUAUGACCUCCAGACUUGAAGGCUCCAUGAAUAGUCAAAGAUUCGACUUCCUGUAGGUUUGCCACAUCCUGAACAGACCUGAAUUUUCUCUUCUUUCGGACCCUUGUCUCAGAAAAUGGUUCCAUAGCUGUCACGUGUUUCAGAGGCAAAUUGAUGCCUUGGAUUAAGAGGGUCUGAUGAUAGAGUCUUCUGAUUGAAACAGAACUCUUCCAAUAAAUGCUUCUGAAAUGAAUAACAAAACUAGGCCAAAAUAAGGGUGUACACUUCUACAAUAAAUAAGGCAUACCUAAUUAUGAAGCUCUUUAAUUUGAAGAUGCUUGAGAACAAAAAUUUUAAGCAACAUUUGAAUGAAUUUGCGAGUGAGAUAGAUUGCAAGAGGAGCACUACAAAGUAUGUCUAAGGAUACUUAUAACCAUUAGUUGGAUUUCACACUUUAGGCCUACAACUGAAGCAGAGUACAUGGUUAAUUAUGAUAAAAGUUAGCAAAAAGAUGAUUUGGUUGCAGCAAUAUUCAUUAGCAAAUUUAUGAGUCAAACAUAUGAUGAAUGUAUUAAAGUGAAAGACAUAUGGCUAAUUCAAUAUUUCAUUUAAUGACUAAAUAUAUUGUACUUUGUUAUCACUUCAUCAAGUUUUCACUUGAAGAUGGAGUGUCAACAUUUGUGAAGAUACAAGGUAGCAAGAAUCCAACUAACAUGUUGACCAAAAUAGUGAUAAUAGAGAAACUGGAGUUGUGCAUAGCUUUAAUGGGUCAUGGGUGAGGAUGGGUUGUUUAAGUGCACACCAUAUUCAUUAAUCAUUAAAGGAAGAUAUUUAGUUGUACUUUAGUUUUUAAGUGGGAGAUUGUUGGAUUAUAAAGUUUGAAUCAUUCUUAUCAUGCUACAUAGGAGAUGUCGAGGAUUGAAUGACAAGUUUGCCCCUAUUGUAUUUAACCCUUUAUGAUUCAAGGUUUAGUUAGAGAGUGGAAAGAAAAUAGCAUGGCCACAAUUGAAAGGAGGAGAGUUUUCACCAUAGUAACUUUUGUAUUUUCAUUUCAUUAGUGGAUUUUUGAGUGUUAGUGCAUUCGUGAAUGUAUGAUUCACAAUAAUCGUUGAACCAUGUUAAUUUUUUUUCUCUCUCUUAUUUUUGCUUAUGUAUAUGUGCUUAUGUUAAUCGGUUGUGAUUAGAUUAAUUGACUACUUGACUCGAACCAACCGGACUUGCAUGAGUUGCAUCCUUAUGAGGUUAAGGUUUUUGUGGAUAGGGGAUGGGAUGAAGAGGAUGAGGACAUUUUUUGCCCUUUCACAUUCAAGUUUUAUUUGAAAGUUAAAUACAAUUGUAUGCAUACAUUUCAUGUUGUUUGAUCUAAGAAAGAUGGGAAAAAAGAUAAAACAAAUUUAUAUUAAUAUAUAAGAAAAAUGAAUGUCAAUAAUAUGACCAUGUGCUUUAAUUUGAUCUUGUAGUUGAUCUUAGUUCAAGAUGACACAAAUUCUUGAAUAAAAAAUGUGGUCUAAGGGUCAACUAGACUUGAUCUUGACUUUGUUACCUAAAAUGUGGUCUUCAUCUUUAAAAGAAUGAAAGAAAACUACUUAUUUUUUGCUUUAAUUAAUUUUUUUUCAUGGGCUUGCCAAGAAAUGUCGAAUAGUAAAGGAUGUUCAAACUUGUUGAAGAUUCAUUCACUAUUCAAGCUCAUUUGUUACUCAAACUUCCAUCAAAAGGAUACAUGAGCUACUCUUGUUUAAAAAACCUCAUGAAUUUUUGUCCACUCUUCAAUUUUUUUUUUUUCCUUAAAGAAAAUGUUAUAAUGGUUUCAUUUUAAAUGUUCAUGCCAGAACUUCAACUUCUCUACUUGCACUCCUCCCUUUGAAAUCAAGGAUAGUUUGUCUAUGUUUUAGAAAGUUUAAAUAAUGAGACCAUUAUAUUUGACACUUCAAUUCAAAUUUGAAAUAUUGCCAACAUAUGAAUCUAAAGUUUAAAUUUAGACAACACUUAAAAGUUGAUUUGUCAAUCAAAUUCACUUUUAAACUUUUCAUUAAUUCUUAACUUAAAAAUAAAUUAUAUUACCUAGAUUUUAUGCAAUUUAUAAAUUAGUAAAUUUUUUCUUAUUUUUUAAGUAAAUUUAGAUAUAAAUUUUUUUUUUUUGAGGAAUAUAUAUUAAAAACAACACAAAUUAUAUUUUGAUCGGAUAAACCAAACAUAAUUAUCUUACUUUAAACAAAUAUUAAAUACAUCGGUAUAAGAGUGAAAGACUAGGGAUCUGUUUAGUAAUUGUUUUUUAGAACAAUUUUCUAUUUUUCAUAAUAAAAUAAUAAGAAAAUACGUUUGAUAGAAACUAUUUUCUUUUUUCUUUUCUUAAGAUAAGAAAAUAUGAUUUUUUUAGAUAACAUCUUUAAUUAUUUUAUAUUGUUUUCCCUUGUUUUCUAAAAGUUAUCUCAUAAAAUAAUUAUAAAAUGAUUAAAAAUAAAACACAUGAUAUAAGAAUUAUUUUUGAAACAUAUUUUAAAAUAUUAAAAACGGGUUAAAAACAAAAUCAGAAAACAUGUUCUCAAAAAUAGUUUUUCAAAACUAUUUUCGAAAACAGCUAUCAAAUAGUGUCUAAUUAACUAGGUAAAAAGAAAACAUCUAUUUAUUCUAAACAAAUAUAAUUGAAUACAUUAACACGACAGUGUUAACUAAAAAUAUAUUCGAUAAUUAUUACUUCUCUUUCAAAGCAAAUACUACAUAUCACCGUCCAAUAAUUGUACAAGAAAAUAUAUAUUUUCUAAUUUAUAAAAUAAAUAAUAAUAAAGUAGUAAAUAUUUUAAAUAUCAAACAAGAUUGAAGAUUCUAUCCAUGGUAUGGAAAACCACUUUAUUUAGUCACGUGUGAUUGUCAUCUCUGCAACCUGAAACAUUUCCUCUAUUCAUCAUGCAGACUUUCCAGGAGUUCCUAGACCUGGGGGACCUUUACCGCGGCAUCUGGUGAUGGGUGAGCAACCCCUUUGCCAUCGAUGGGCUUCUUGAGGUGGAGCCUUGGGAUUCUCGCGACAACCCACUGGUGGACUCGGUCCAUGGCAUGGGUCUAGGAACUUAUCAAUGUCAACCUCACCAUGUACGUACAUGACCAAAAUCAUGCUGACAAGAGUCAGACAUAUGAGCCAUUUCUUCGUGAUGGAGAGUCCCAUGAUCUCUAUGUUAAAUUCCUUUUUCUUUAGCUUCCAAUGCAUGGCUAGUCAUGUGAAGGGAGUUUAUAUAGAUUUUGGAUAUGGAGACCUUUGGGGAGUCGAAUGUCUUAAUAUAGAAGUGCUUAAAAUAAAGAAGGGCAAAACCCUUUUGUUUAGAUGGUUGGAAAAUGAUUUAGAAAAAUAAUUUUUGACAACUAUUUUAACUAUUUUAGGAAAAUUGUUCGUUAUUGUUUUGUAACGUAAAUAAAAGUUUCUUUUAACCUAUUUUUUUACUAUAAAAAAUUUCAUUUAUUUGACCAAAUUUUUAGUGUCAAUGACUUCAAAAUAUUUCCUUGGAGUAAAAAAUAAAAAAUAAUUUGGUUUAUGAUUGUUAGGUAUUUUUGGGCAUAAAAUAUAUCUUUCACAUUUCACAGUGAUAAAUGUCAAAUAUUUCAUUAAUUCUUUCAAAUCAAUGACUCCAAAAUUUCAAUUUACAAAGUUUUUGCCCAAACUUUUGUUUUCUUUGUUCAAUUCAACCGGUAACAUAAUCUUAGAACAUGCCCAAAUUUUGAUAGUGACCCUAAAAUGUUUUUGAAAUGAAGAUGAUAAAAAAUGUUAAGUAAUAAUAAUAAUAAUAAUAAUAAUAAUAAUAAUAAUAAUAAUAAUAAUAAUAAUAACUAUUGUUUUUGUUUUGUGGUUAUGAGAGCUCUAUGUUUUUGCUAAACUAUUAUGAUGCUUUCAAUGCUUAAUUAUGUUAUAUGCAUGACACUAAAAAUUUCAUUUAGAGAAUAUUAAUUAAAUUUAAUUUAAGUUUUAUAAAAAAUGAAAACAAUUUCAUGAUUAAAAAUAAAUAGCUUUGAAUAAAAUAUGAAUAGUAAUAUUAUAAUAAAAUAAAAAAUUAUUGUUAUUUUUUUAGAAAAAUAAUUGUGGACCCCCCGUUUGGGGCCUCCUCUCUCAGGCAACCUGUUUUGCCAAGUGUCACAGUCCCAUAGGGCCACGUGUCGUCUCGUGGUUGGUGGUCAUAAAAUCAGACAGUGGAAUUGAGGAGCGAGUGAGAGUUUGACACGUGGCAUGGAGAUAUUCUGGCCGUUAGUGAGGAGCGUAUAUUUUCUGUUAGAGGAGAUUCGUUGACAGAGGUGGUGCGUUUUUCUGGAGGUGGAGUGCUUUUCAGGUGGGGCUUUUCCAUUAGAGAGGGGGGCUGCAGAGAUCUUUGAGGAGAGGAGCUUUUGUUUGGUUGUUUAGAGAGGAGGGAGAGAUAUUUUUUAGGGGGGAUCCUGGAGUUAAAAGAAAAGAGAGGUUUGAGGCUACUGAAGGAUUCCAGGGGGAGUUUCGGGAGUUAGAGGAGGAUAACUAGAGAGGAGAGGGGAUUCACAGGAAGCUGGCGAGGAGGAUAGGGGAGCUUGAGAUGAGGGUUUUUGACAGAGAGGCUGGCGAGGAGGAUAGGGGAGCUUGAGAGGAGGGUUUUUGACAGAGAGGUUGAGGGAGGAUUUUUGUGCCUGUUUAGUUUGAGAGAAAACUAAGAGGCAGAGAUAUAGGAGCGUUUCUGUUACAGAGGGCAGGAGGUGAUGCUUUUUCGAGGGGAGCUGCCAGAGAGAAGGGUAGAAAACCAGAGUUUUGAGGAGGAAGCUAGAAGCAAGUUGGAGGUUAUAGAGAGAGCCAGAAAGAAAGGGUCUCUAACAUUUUUCUUCCCGAGAGUAAGUUUUCCAUUGUGUUUCUGCUUCUUUCUUUUUCUCUUCAUAUAUUAUUAUUGGGAUGCAUUGUUGUUGAUCUUUGGCAAUUUAUGCUUUGUUCUUCAUGGCUGACUAUUCCUCUUUUGCUCCUGUUUGUGUUUAAAAAUUGAUUUAACUCCAUUUUUACCUUCUUUGUGGCAUUUUAAAGAAAGAAAAAGACCUUUUAAUUCACCUAUCUGCAAACCCACUAAUGAAGAGGUGAAGCAUAGUCCUUAAUGCUUCAUCUCAUUUUUCUUCCUCCAUGGCUCUGUUUUUGCUACUUUUCUCUCUGCUCUUCGUGUUUGGACUUUCUUGGAUAUGAAGCCGUAAUGGGGAGUGAGGCUAUGGGAUGACGAGACAGUGAGGGAUUUGGACUCCUUGAAUCCGUUUGUCCUGUAGAGGCUACUAAGGGCUUGGUAGAUCAGUGUUUGAGCAUAUGAACAGAGAGUGGUCUACACAGGGGAUACCAUUAUUGCCAGUGAUCCGUGUGGCAGAGAUUAGUGGGCUGUAGAGAGGGGAUCCUUUCUGGAGGAGAAAGAGAACAACAAGAGUAAGGGAAGUUUGGAGCUAGAGUGGCAGGCAAACAGGGAGAUAGAGCUACUGAACUAGAGAAAUUGAAACGGAGCAAAGGAACAAGAGAUGAAUUUGUUGGGAAUUGUCCCAAAUUCCUAAUUAGUAAAUAUUCCUUUUUGUAAAGAAUAUUGUAUAGAAUAUUUCUAGGUUGAUAUAUUAUUGUAAUAUUAGACUUCCUUAUAGAAUAAGGAAGGUUGUUGGAAAUAUCUCUAUAAAUAUUCUAGGUCAUGAGGGGAAAAAGUUAUGAGAUGGAGAUGAGCCUAUAGAGACUAUACGAGGUGGAUAGAGAUGUGAGGAAGAACGGGAGGUACCUGGUGGAGCGAGAGGGCUCGUAGUAAGGUAUGGAUACAAGGAGUGGGGAAACAUGGGAUGUUUCGGGAACCCAAUAGUUGUAUCUGGUUCUAUCCUCUGUAAUAUUUUCUAUUGUAUAGUGGAAUUAUUCUCUCUCAUCCGUGGACGUAGGCAUGGUUAGCCGAACCACGUUAAAACCUCGUAUGUGUGAUUGUGUUUAUCUUUGUGUUCUUGAACUAUCAUUGUUGGCAUCAAAGCUUUCGCUGGCACUACAAUUGGUAUCAGAGCUUGGGUUGAAGAUUUCUGGAAGAGUAAAAAAUCACAAAGCACAUAAGAUGAAAACAAAAGGAAUUUUCACUGAAGGUGGAGUCAAUUGCUCUUUCGUGGUGAUAUGAUACAAAAAGGUUUGUGUCAUGGAGAGAUUGAAGAUUAACUUCAUGUAAUUUGGUCCAAGGUGGAGAUUGUUGGGAAUUGUCCCAAAUUCCUAAUUAGUAAAUAUUCCUUUUUGUAAAGAAUAUUGUAUAGAAUAUUUCUAGGUUGAUAUAUUAUUGUAAUAUUAGACUUCCUUAUAGAAUAAGGAAGGUUGUUGGAAAUAUCUCUAUAAAUAUUCUAGGUCAUGAGGGGAAAAAGUUAUGAGAUGGAGAUGAGCCUAUAGAGACUAUACGAGGUGGAUAGAGAUGUGAGGAAGAACGGGAGGUACCUGGUGGAGCGAGAGGGCUCGUAGUAAGGUAUGGAUACAAGGAGUGGGGAAACAUGGGAUGUUUCGGGAACCCAAUAGUUGUAUCUGGUUCUAUCCUCUGUAAUAUUUUCUAUUGUAUAGUGGAAUUAUUCUCUCUCAUCCGUGGACGUAGGCAUGGUUAGCCGAACCACGUUAAAACCUCGUAUGUGUGAUUGUGUUUAUCUUUGUGUUCUUGAACUAUCAUUGUUGGCAUCAAAGCUUUCGCUGGCACUACAGAAUUCAUGGGUUUUCUGAAUUGUUUUCACUAAGAAGGAGUUCACCCAGUACUCCUAGGCCUAAGAAGCUCGACAUUUCUUUGCAAACAUAAGAAGCACAGGCUGGAACUAUGGAGGCCAUAGGUUUUACAUGGUAAAAAGUGGGUUGACGGAGGAAUUGAGAAAAUAAUAAACCAAGCAAAGCUAUCCUCGAACGAUGCAGGCGGCGAAAUGCCUCUGCUAUCACCGGAAUCUUGAGGAACUUGCUUCUCAAAACAAACUGGUGCAGCCACCAACAGUUUAAGAGACGCACUUAAUUUGUCUCCUAGAGAUAUUGGCCAGCAUAACAACAGGUAUUUGCAUGGGCUUUCAGAGGGCCCAAUGACCAACAACCAGCUGGAUCAAUGGGGCUCUAUCUAACCUCAUCUCCAGCAGGCCUUCCAGAGUUCUGGCUUUGAGCAUCCAAACUCUGAUCAUCCACACCAACUUCAGUCAUCGCAGUCGAGUUCUAAUCCCUCAAGCAGCAGCUAACACAUAGGUGAAGACGGAAGCCUUUCUUAUACUUGUAAGACUAGGAAUCAAAUCAUCAGCUUUGAUACUAGACUAUGCAUUGUUUAGGAUGCCCAGAUGUACACAGAUGUGGAGGUGUACUAUGCGUCAGGGCCUGUCUCGAGGGGAUAGUUUCUUGGCUAGUUUCAUGCUGGUAUGGGGAAAAGUAUUGGAGUGCCGCCCAUGGCUUGGUGGGGAUUAUGCAUUUUUUUAAUGCACAUGGAAUUGAAAAUUGAUGAGAUUGAGGUUGCCCCAGACUCUGCUUCUGCACAUGCUGAAAGCACUGAAUCGUGUGAGGAAAUGUUUUUUUUACCCUAAUGUCUUUACCGAGUUUCAGUUGCAUGGGGUCCUGAUGGAAGGUGACUGGCUUAUGGCUCAAUGGACGACACCAUUUCUAUAUUUGAUGUAAACCGGGUCAAAUUCCUUCAUCAGUCAGAAGGUCACUACAUGCCCGGACCUGACUUUCCAACUGGAGGAUUAAUCAUGGGAAAUAUUGGCAUUUUAGAGGCAUAUCGAACUGAGUGGGAGCAUGGGAUGGCAGUUAAAGUGACAGGCACGCUUCUAGAGGUGAAUGCAGCUCAGGAUUUCCCCUAGAGUUCCUACAAUUCUAGUUGAAAAAUGAGAACAGUGUUGAUACCUUGUCCGUCGGUUGACUUUGAAUUGCAAUAGAUGACUGCCUCUUGAUGUUUCUAGAACGUGGAUCCAUCAUUGGCCUGAACCAUUGCUAGUAUUUAUGCUGCCUGCUUUGAGAGAGCAUGUUCAUUGUCAGCUGAAGGUCGUGGUCAUGAGCUCCGUGUGAGAUAGGCACUUUAUCUUUGCUCAACAAUGACGUCUCAUUAAGAACGGUGGACCCACCUGGGUUAUUUCAUGCCCUUUAUUUUUAUGUGGGAUCGUCUCCUCCAUCAAGUUGACUGGUUCUUCAGCAAAGAAAAUCAAGCUAUUCCUGCUUCUUGAUCUCUGCAUCCUAUUACCCCCACCAUUCACCUAGCUAUGUCAAUAAACCCACUUCUCUCUCUAGGUUUACACCCUUCAAUAUCCAUUAAGUCCAUCAUUCAUCCUCCGCUAUUCAUUUCCCACUCACCCAUCCCAUAUUCUCCCACGUGCAUGCAUCCUCCAGCAUUCUUCCUAAGCCUUAUCAUGAGGUGCAUAUCACCAUUUCCUUAACAUCCAGCCUGCACCAACUUCUUCUGUCAAUGAUACUAGUUGACUUGGAAAUGCUGAAUGAUCUUAAGCAAUUCCAUGGGAUAUAUAUACAUUGUUCUAGACAUUGCUCCAAGCAUGGAAAGGCAAUUUCAGCGUGUUCUCGAGAAACAAAAGAUGAAGUUCAUGCUCAGAACAAAGGUAGCAAAUGUUGACACAUCUGGAGACAUUGUUAAGUUGACACUUGAACCAGCAGCUAGUGGUGAGCAGAACAUACUUAAAGCUGAUUUUGUUCCUGUCCCAACUGGCGUCUGAGCUAUUGAUGAAGUGAUUCCAGGUUCCAUGUUAACUCACAAGACAGAGGAGGAUGAGGUGGCAUGUGUAGAGGUGAUAGCAGGCAAAGAAGGUCAUGUGGACUAUGAUAUGGUCUCUAAGGUUGUCUAUACGCAUCCUGAGAUAGUUUUUUGUUAGGAAGCAAAGAAGCGGAGUCUCUCAAUUUUAGACACGUGUCAUUUCUUCGGGAUGCAGUAACUGCAGUGGGAUGUCUGCAUCCAGUCAAGCCUCUGAGGCAGGUGCUUGCAUGGCCACCUUUGAUCCAAGUGCCAUUUCCCAUUUUGCCAUCUUUAACUUUUUAAAAAUAAUUUUCCAAGUCCUUUUCUCCAAAUAAAUUUCUGGGUUUUAGUUUUUAAAUAAUUCCAACUCCAUGUUUAACUUCAUUCUCAGAGUUUCUAGGUCCCAAAAUCCCAUUCUCCAUAAAACAAAUUGUCAUUUUCUCUUCGGCAAUUCUUUUCCACAUCUUUCUCGUUUUUUUAAAUGUUUUAAAAAUAAGCAAGAAUUAAAUUUCGUAAUUCCAAAUUAUGGAAUUUAUGGAAUUAGUUCAUGCAAAAAUAAACGGGCUUUGGUGGGGGCCCCACAUCAAAUAAAUUUUCAUCAAAAUAAAAGUGAAUUUGAAAUAAUACCAUGCAUGAUAUUGAUGUUUCUUUAUAUGGUUGGGUGAUAUGAGUGAUAUAAUUUGUGGUCAUUACUAUGCACUAAUCCCAUUUUGUGAUAGCGCGUUGCCGUUUGCUAAUCAGGUACGCAUCCACCUCCACUUCGGUUAUCCUCUAUUGCAUAUUCUGAUACUCAUAUGUGCAUGAUUGAUUUGAGUAUUCAUUGAUUUCCUCAUCAUUGCCACGUCAGCUUUAUUUUAGUAGUAGAGACCCGACUUUAGGGACUUAGAGGGGUGCUACGGUCUUUACCGUACCUUCCCGAUAAGUAACCUGACCCCCGAACCCGAUCCGGUUUUUCACAGACCACCUUUUCCAAAAUAAGGAGUCACACUUAGGGUUUUUCUUUCUUAUUUUGUUUACCCUUUAAAAAUAAAACAAAAAUAAGUAGCGACUCCAAGUCAUUUUCAAAUAAUCAAUAAAAACCAAAUUUUCAAAAUAAAAAAAAUCGAGCUCGCCAUCGAGUGGGAAACGCAUUGAGCCGAAAUGCGGGGUCCACAAUAAUAUUUUGGUAUAUGUUAGAAAAAUAUGAAUAUUAACAUCUUCAUAAAAAAAAGGUAUAAUUGAUUUAAUCUGUAAUUAGUUGGAUUAGUUUUUAAAAUUCUAAAUUAUUUUUAAAAAUUAGAAUAUUUAUUAAAUAAUUUAUAUUAUUAAUUAUGUAUCACUUAAUUUAGAACCUAUUUAUAUAGUUAGAAAAUUAAAAAAAAAUGGUAUUUCAUAGAAGAAACAGUAAAGUCAUAAUUUAUAAUGUAUCGAUUUUGGUCUAUUAUUUUUUGUAGUGAUUAGAUUUAUUUUAAGUUCCAAAUUAAUUUUGAGAAUUAUUGAACUCAUUAUCAACAUAAAGUGUCACUUAAUUUGAAAUUCAUUUCUCUGGUACAACAAUUUAUAAUAAUAUAAUUAUAUGCAAAAAGGAAAUAAAAAAAGUCCUUGUAAAAUAUUUUUUAUCCAUAAUUAUGUUUUUUAUUAAUUGGAUCAUUGUUUAAGUUUUAAGUUAUUUCUAAAAAUUAUUAGGCUUGUUAAAAAUUCAAUGCAUUCAAUCUUGUUUAAGUUGUAGUUUAUUUGUGUGGUAAGGAAAAAGAAAAAGAAAAAGAGAAAUAUGGUCCUAUAUAAAGGACAAACAAUAUAUUCAUUUUAAACUAAUUUUUAUCCACAAUGUUUUUAUAUUAAUUAAAUCAAUAUUUAAGUUUCAAGUUAUUUAUGAAAAUUCCUAAACUCGUUAUGAAUUCAAAGCAUUAAGUAUUGCUUAAUUAGCUUAAAUCAAUUAAGUGCCAAAAUAAGCUAGUAUUUGGAAAAAUGACCUCCGCCUUUUAAAAACCUAAAGAAUGCCCUAUUUUGGACUAAAUUACCCUUGAAAAAAAAAACCUUUGAAAUUCAAAAAAGCAAAAAGGAAGAGAAAGAGAACAAACCAAGGGUUCUCUUUUGAAUGGUAGACUACAACACACUCUAUGGUCUUCUGAUAUAUAUAUAUAUAUAUAUAUAUAUAUAUAUGUAUUGCAAUUUGCGUAUUGUUAUUGAUUAUCUGUGUAAAAGGAUUCUAAAAGGUUAUUCAUUUGAUUGAAGUGUGAAUUUUUUUUCUCUAAUUUCUGAAAAAACGCGGGAAAGGAAGAGAACGAAACGAAAUGGAAUGGAAGAAAACUGAAAAGGAUCUUGAAAAGUAUGUUUAUUACUUUGAAAUAGUUUGUUUUUUUGGAUUCUCUCUUUGUUGAUUUCAUACAUUCGCUUGAGGUGUGUGUUUUCUUUCUGCAUGGUUUUAGAAAAAAUAUGAGAAAAAGUAAUGGGUUUAUAUGUUCACUUUUUGUUAAGCAUAAAUAUAAGGGUUUUUCUUUAAUUUGUUAGCAUAUUCCUCAAGUGACAAAUGUGUUGACCAAUUUGGUCUUCUAAAGAGUUGAAUCAUAAUAAGAGAAAUAGAAUUUGUCCCCAUUUUGAUAUUUCUUCCUUGGUGAUUGGAAGAAACAUUUCAUUCGUCUAAUUGGAAAAUGAAUUUGUUUCCUUAAACCCCGCAGGUAGAGAUAUUGAAAGUGUUGCUGAAGUCUUUUUCCAUGAGCAGUGUUGGAAGAAUGGUUUUGAUUUCUUUUCCAAAAUUCAAAACCCUUUUUUUAGAGUAGUUUUGGCUUAUAUCAUAAAGUAAAAAUAAUACUUCUUCUAUGAGCAUUCAUGUCAAUUAUUCUCCUUUUGUGUUGCUUAACUUUUAAGUAAUUGAACCAAUAUGAUAUACAUGAAUAGUCAUUCUUUUCUAGUAAUGACAAAAUUGGAGAUCAUUGUAGUCUUUGCCAAUUGGGUGUCUAGUUUUUUAGCAGUUUGGGAAUUUUUUUCUUUUUCCUAUUUGUAGUUCUUUUCCCAAGGGAUAGGAAGUUGGUUUAAUUGAAAACCUCAAUUUUCAUCAAACAGUUUGCAUCCCUUGCCUAUCUACAGUUUCCAUUUCACUUGUCUAGAUUGAGAAUUAAAUCUCUGCUCUCUCUUGGAUGUGAACCAACUUUAAGAAUCACCCCAUCAAGGUCUAAACCCAGUUUGCUUUUACUAGAUCAUAAGUGACAUUUGCUAAAUUUGGGACCUAGUUGGUCCUACAAUGCAAACCACAACAUUGAAAUAGUAAUCUCUAACAAAAGUCAUGACAAAGAAUGAUCCCAACUAAGGACUGAAAUAUUACUCACAACUAAGAUAUUGAGUGAGAUGAUGCAUAUGCAUAGCCAAAAUACUUCUACCAUAUGCUUUCUAUUAGUAAGGAUGGUCCUUUAGAACUUCAUUUAUAUCUAGAUAUAGAUGCAAGGAAAAGUAAUAUGACAUGGACUCAUGAUUAGUUCUUAAAAUUUAGGCAUGAAUAACCAAAGUGUUUGAACUCAUUAGAAAAUCAUGUGCAUCAUGCAAUCUCUUUCAUCAAUAAAAGAUUUAAAAGAAUUCAAUGAAAAAUGUAGUGUAAGUUUUAUGAAAAUGUAAAUUUCUAAAAAUUGUUUCUAAGGUGAUGUAAAAGAAUGUUAUACAGUGGUCUCUAUUUCUCUCUCUCUUUAUAUAUAUAUACAUAUACUUAGUAUAAACUUAUGGAUUUUAAUAAGUAAAUGGAUGAUUGUUAUUUGAAUUUUUUUAUAUUUAUUUUUUAAGGACAAGGAAAAAAAAAAUUAGAUUUGCAAUAUAGUAUAACUCCAAAAGUGAUCAUCCUAGAAAGUGAACUAAUCAUCUUUAAGGGCAAAUACUGAAGAAUCUAAUGAGAAGGUUUGUAUUUUUGGUAUAUUUGGGAUGUUAAUGUGUUGAUGAUUCUUGUAUAUGAGAUCACUCCUUCAAUAGCAAAAUAUAUAUCUAUUGCAUUUCAUAUGCUAAAAAUAUACCAAAUAAGUUAAGCCUAGAUAAUAAGUCUAUGGAUGAUAUUAUAUCUCAAGUUUGCCAUAAAUAAUGAACCUAUCAAGUUAAGUUUUUUAUAUGUUAAUCAAAAUAUUCAUUUAAACUAAACUAUAGUUAAGUUUUAUAGAGAAAGAAUUUAAUCGAGGUUAAGUUAUUAAAAAGUAAAAAUUCACCUGAACUUAGCCAAGGUUAAGUCUCAUCAACAAAUAACAUAACUGUAGUUAAGUUCUCAGUUAAAAUAUUUGAAACAUGCUUACAAUAUAAUUAAUUGAAUCGGUAUUUUGAUUUUAGUGGAAGUAGUUAAAUUUUUUGUAAUAUAUUUUAGUUCAUGCAGAAUGUUUGUAACUCUUAAUAUAUUUUCUUAAUGUGAAGCAUAAUGUAUGUGACUUUGUAGGCUACCACUUCUUCAACAAUCUUCAUACAGAAAAUACGUAAUGAAGAUCAUUUCCCAUCUAAGGUGGCUUGAUUAUCCCAAAUUAUUGUCAUUGACAACAUAAAGAAGAACUUGAAUGAAACCCAACUAGAGAUGUUUAAAACAUCUUGUUUUGCCCACUUCUUAGGUAUGGUUGAUUUGAAAUUUUCUACUCAAAUUGUUCAUAAUAUGUUGUUACGCCAAUGUGACAUUAAAAAAAAAAUGAUAUGUGGAUACUUGUAAACUCUAAAGGUUUGAGUUUUAGUGCGUUGAAGUUUGCAUUGAUAAUCGGGUUGAAAUUUGGGAAAAUUUCACAAUUUGACAUAACAUCUUUGAGGAUAAGAGAUCAGUAUUUUAAUAGAGAGAAUAAGAUUCGCAAUGAUUGAUUGGAAGAGGUUUUCAUUGCAUUAUGUAAGAAAAGAAAGAGAAUGAGCACAAAGAAGUCAAAAAAUAAGGAAAAGUUAAAUGGGAAAUCAAAUCUUGAUGAAGACAUUGUGAAUUUAGCAUUGUUGUACUUUGUUGAGCAUGUUCUACUAAGAAAAAAAUGGAAGAAUUUGAUAGAUUUACAAUGAGUUCAACUUUUUAAUAAUUUAGAGGAGUUCAACAAGUAUUCCAGUGGGAAAAUUUUCCAUGAAAGAACAUUAUUUGGGUUGAAAAGGGCUUUGGACAAAAGACAAUCAAAAUAUGUAGAGAAAAAAAAAAAAGGAAUGCAUCAUAUGAAGCAUGCACUUGUGGGAUUUCCAUAUGCCUUUCAAAUUUGGGCAUGUGAAGUCAUUCCAUUGCUUGGAAUGAAAUAUGCAAGUUGCAUUGGUAGAAGUUUUCCCAGAAUUUUAAAUUGGACAGGGAUUGCAACUACAAAGUACACUGAGAUUCAAUCAUUAUUUUUAGAGUCAAAUGUGAGUGAUAUCUUAAUUUUUGCUUAUACUUACUUUCUUAUUUACAUAACCGUAUUCUUAUUAUUAAUUGUUUUCUUUCUAUCUUGAAUUAUUAGUUAUCUUUGCAUUCCAUACUCAUUCUGACAUUGGAAGAGGGUAAACAAAAGUAUGUGAAAUGUUUUGAAUUUGAAGCUUAGUCGGAUGAUGCCUUACAAGAUAAUGUGAAUGAUUGGGAGAAAUAUAAAGAUCAUGAGGAAGCUGAGGCUUAUACUGCAGCAGUAGUAGCAAUAAUGAAAGGUGGAAAUGAUGGUGUUAGUUCUAAAUUACCUUCAUUCAAGGUAACUAAAGUGAAAGUUAUUAAUAUUAUUUCACUAUACAUGUUUAAGAAUGUUUGACUAAUGUUAUAAUGUUUUUUCUUAUGUAAAGGAAUUGGUUAUGAUGUUCAUCAACUUUCAAGAAAAGACAGAAGAAAAUUUUAAUGAAGUCCAAACAAAAUUGAAAAAAAAAAAAAAAGUAAGGUUGAUGGUUUUGAGUGAGUUGUUGUUGGAUGUUAGUAACAUGUGUUAGAUUCUUUAUUUUUUUUAUAAAACCAACAACACAUUUUAAAAUAUAUUAAUAUAUUUCUAUGCAAUUUUAGAUUAGAAACCCAAGAAGUGAGUCAUAUAAUGCUACAAUGGGGAAUGGUAUGACGAUGGACUUCAAAUCAAAGUUAGGAAAAUUUGAAACACCGGGAAAAGACAAUAAGAAGGAGGCUUCAAUGGAUGAUGCAUAGAAUGAAACACCAGUUAAUGUUUUUCCAUGAUCUUAUAUUCUUUAUAUUUUUUAAAUUACUAACAAUGCCUUUUCAAAUAUAUUUAUAUAUUUCUAUGCAAUUUCAGGUUGGAAAAUUGAGUAAUGAGCCAUAUACUACAACAAUGGGAAAUGAAACAACAUUGAACUUCAAAUCAAAGUUAGAAAAAAUUUAGACAUCGAGAAAAGACAAUGAUAAGGAUGUUUUGAAGGAUGACCCACCUAAUGUGACAGUAGUUCAUGUUUUCCCACAUCAACUAUCAUCGAAUAUCUUUAAGCGAAGAAAAGAGGUAAAGAAAUCUCAUCUACUGCAAUACCCAUUUACAGAUCCCACAAAGAGAAGGAAGUUAUUAAUGAGUAAGACUGACAUAACAUCAUCAAUCUUUGAUCCAUUGCGGCCACCAUCAAUGGAGGCAAAGGUGGCUUAUACAGAAUAUAUUAAUGAUUAGAUUAAGGAAAAGUAAGUUAUCUACAAUAUUGACUCGAUUAAUUUUUUUUAUGUAAUUUAUGAAGUUGAAAAAUGGUUUAUUUCCUUAUAUGACAUAAAGGUUUGAAGUGAACAUCGAGUAUACGAAGGUGGACCAAAAAUGGUUUCAGAAAAUAAUGAUUCCUGGAGAAUGGCUCAGUGACUCCGUUUAUGACUGUUGCCUACAUUAUUCAAUAAUAUACAGAUAUUGUUGGAUUACUAUUUAUUAUUCCUUAUCAACAUAUUGAUGCCACUUUAUACUUUUUUUCGAAAAAAAGAGGAUACUAAACUCUGAUGUGUUUACACAAAAAUUCACCACCACUGACACAUUAUUUUGGGUAUGCAUAUUAGUGCAUUUUAACUUUGUUUUACUUUAUUUUUAAAGUUAUAUUCACAACUUCUGAUUAUUUUUUCCUUAUGUAACAAAAAGUAGAUGGUUGUUGGAAGAUGAAUCAAAAGACAUGGAACAAAUACAUUUUACCGGAAGAUGACAUCCUCAUCGAUUAUGCCAUGGUUCUUUAUCUUAGGCCUUUUUUUGAAAUGGUCUAAGGUUGAUGUCAUAUAUGUUCCUAUCAAUCUAAGGAGCACACAUUUGGUACUGGGAGUUGUCCACCUUCGUAGUAGGAGAAUUUACAUUUGACUCCAUAAAGUCAAUUAACAAACCCAAUAGAUUGAAAACACUUGUCACACCCAUUGCAAUGUUGUUACCACGUAUCUUAAGAGCUACAAAAUACUAUGGGAAGAAUGGUGACCCCAAGGGUGAACAUGCGUGGGACAUUGAGAGAUUGAACAACAUUCCACAACAAACAAAGGAGUAAGUACAAUAUUUUCCAUGCCAACACACAUAUUUCAUUAUAUAUACAAUAAUAUUUAACAUUGUUAACAUCACUUUUUUGUGUUCAUUCAGUGGUGAUUGUGGUUUUUUUUUUUUAAUCAAAUUUGCAAAAGACCUGAUGCACAGCCAUCCAAUGGAUACACUAAUAGGCGAGCAAAUGGAUUGGUUUCGUAAGAAGAUGGCAAUGGAGUUAUUUUUCCAUAAAGAACUUCCUAUGUGAUCCUACUAUUGUAAAUGGAUUGUAAUUGGAUAGUGGACAAUGUUUCUAUGUAAUGACAUUGAAGUUUUUUGUUUAGCAAAUUCCUAUGUUAUAGCACGUAUUUAAAUAGUUACAUGUUUUUCAUACAUCUAGAGAAAUGAAUGGUUGCAAAUUUAUUUACUUUUAUAAAUAUGACUAUGUUAUGAUUGUUAACAGGUUUGAAUUUAUUGUAGUAAGCAUAAUAAUAGAAACUUAUAUUUCAAUGUAGAGCUCAUAUUUUUUUGCUCAAACUUAACCCUAGUGCAUUUUAGGUGAACAUCCUCAAUUAAAACUUAACUCCUACUAAGUUAUUUAUUAAAAAAACUCAACUUCAGUUUAGUUCAGGACGUUUGUUUUAAUUCAAACUUAACGAGUGUUAAGUUACUCAUAACUUACACUUAACCUUAUUGCAGUUCAGGUGAGUAUCCUCAAUUAAAACAUAACUCCUACUAUGUUCUUUAUUAAAAAAAAAACUUAACUUCAGUUAAGUUCAAGACAUUUGUUUUAAUUCGAACUUAAUUGUUAACUUACUUGUAAAUUAGACUUAACCUUAGUGCAGUUCAAGUGUAUAUCCUCAAUUAAAACUUAACUCUUAUUAAGUUCUUUAUUAAAAAAACUUAACUUUAGUUUCAUUCAGGUAAUUUUUUUUUAACUGAAACUUAACUACUAUUAAGUUCUUUGGAAAAUAAACUUAACCCUAGUACAAUUCAGUUGAAUAUCCUCAAUUAAAACUUAACUCUUACUAAGUUCUUUAAUUAAAAAAAUUUAACAUCACUUUCGUUCAGGUAAGUUUUUAUAACUUAAACUUAACCAUUGUUAAAUUCUUUGUAAAAGAAAUUUAACCCUAGUGUAGUUUAGGUGAAUGUCCUCAAUUAAAGUUGUAUAUAUGAAUGAUCUCGACAUAUAUAAUGUGUUUGAUCUUAACAUCAAUAAAAGAUUAAAACAUAUCCAAAUAUGUAUGAUCAAAUACUAACGAGACUAGUAUUCAAAAAAAAAAGAGUUUACUUGUCAUUUCAAAUGAGUUGGUAUUGAGGGAUGAACUUAAACUUCAUUUUUAAGCUUUAAGUUCAUCAUUUAAUUAAAAGAGACUAAAUCAAAGUACAAUUAUACGUUUUGUGCCCCUAUUCACAAUAUACAAAAAAAAUUACAAUAUCAAAUAUUUUAUAUGCCAAUCAUCAUCUACAAAAAACAACAAAAAAUUCACCAUAAAAUUGGCUUAGUGACAGUUUCAUUCAUUCUCUGAUUGUAAGGAGAAAUCUUGCAUGCCUAUUUCAGUGUAUCCACUAUUAUCAUUCUGAUAAUGCAGAGGGAUAUGUCAUUUGCAUGACUUUCAAUUAUGACCAUAAUCACCACAUCGACCACACCGCCAUUUGUGUUUACUCUCUCCACCUGAAAGGAUUCUUUCAUUCCUUGGUAUUCCUACUAGCUACCUUGUUUUCGGUGGUAAUACAACUCUACUGCUUAUAUCAUCAGGUAUCAUCCAAUCCCUUUGAUGUCCAGGAAGAUAGAUGGACUCAACAUAUGAAGAUAAUAAUGAGUUCACUGUGCAAUAUUUGGAGCAUAAAGGAUAGCAUGACAUAUGUGCAUAUCUACAAGCAACAAUAGCAUGUGAACACGAUAUGUGAUCAAGAUCAAACCAUCGACAUGUGCAUGAAUGAUUAUGUAAAUUCACAUGAUCACUAACACCAUUAUAUUUAACAUUAUACUUCAUCGAGUUGAUUGCUUCAACUUCAUAUGUUGAUGAUGUAUUGUACCUUACACGAAGCUCUCCAUCAGCCCAUGUUGUUACCUAAGUUGUCAUUGACAAUGCUUGUUGUUUACAAUUUGCAAACCAUUUUUAAAGUAAAUUUCUUAACUCUUCAAUUUAUUGCAAAAUAGGAAGAUCUCUACCAUCCUUUAACACAACAUUCAAACUUUCAGCAAUCCCUGUGGUCAUAAUGUUAUAUCUUUUUUUGGUAGAAUGUGAAUGUGUCCAUCGCUUAACACCUGCAUCUAUUAUAUAUGUUGCUGCUCUCAGAGAAAUCAUUUGUAGUUUCCCAAAUAUAAUAUUGAAUUCUGACAACUGGUAUGUAUAAGCAACAUCAUGAAACAACUUAUGGACUUCAACGUUUUUAAACUUUGUUUUGAGGUUUUUCUUCAUGUGAUAAGUGUACACACCAUGGCUUGCAUGAGGAAAAGUUUUCGCACAAAUUUUUCAAUGUUGUCGUGACGAUCUAAAACCACCACAAGAUCAUCAACAUGGCCAAUUGCUCCAUGCAAUUUUUUUUAGGAACCAUUCCCAAGAAGCAUCAUUUUCAAAAUCACCAAUUCUGAAACAUAAAGGGUAUAUCUGAUUAUUUCCAUCCUUACAUGCAGCAACAAACAAAGUUCCUAAGUACUUUGCCUUCAAAAAUGUUCCAUCGAUUGUAAUGACAGGUCUUAUUGAUGUACGAAACCCAUAAAUACAUGCACCAAGAGCCAUCAAAAAAAUACUUAAAUUGAUUGUCGUGGUCAAUAACCAUACCAGUAAUGGUGUCAGGAUUUUUGUGCUCCAACACAUAACAAUAAGAUGGUAAAGCACUAUAGGACUCCUCUGGUGAUCCUCUAAUAGAACUUAGAGCAAAUUCUCUAGCUCUCCAUGUCUUACCAUAGCUUAUCCCCACAUCGAACUUGUUUCGAAUAUCAGCUACAAUGUCUUUUGGUCGAUAUUGACAACCAACCCCUUGAUAUAUUUCUCUUAUGCUUUCACCAAUCAACCAACAACUUGCAUGACGAUGAUCACGAGAUAUCAUAUCCAAGCUACAAGUGUGUGUUGAAUGAUAUCUCCUUAUUUGAAAUAGAUUAGAAUUUCCCAACUUGAUUGCAAGAAGUCGCCACUUGCAUUCUUUAUUGACAAUCCAAUAUAUAAUAACUUGGUCAAAGAUUUUAAUGUUUUCAACUGAAACUCUCUUUUCAAAGCAAUCAUGCAUAACUUCUUCUGCAAUUCUUUCUUAUUGGAGUAUUUGGUGCUCUUCCAUGUAGUCAUCACCAGUUUCACUAUAACCAACUAUAAAUGGUUCCUCUAUGCUUUCUUUUGCAUGACUUUCACAUUCCAUUGCUGCAUUUUCCAUUACAUCAAUUUGCAUUACUUGGCAAUCCUUGUUCGGGUUGACAUUCAUUCCACCAUCUUCAUCAUCCUUGUUCAUAUUCAAGUUAUGAGAAUCAAAACAAUUAAGUGGAUCAUAGCUCAACCUUGUUCUAUUUUCAUCAUCAAAACCACUCAAAGAUUCACUACUAUUUAUGAAUAUUGGGUCCAUAUUGAUUUCUUUCUCAACCCUAGAUAAAGUAUGAGAGCCAAAAUCAGUGUUGAUGAUUGAUUCAUACCUAUGAUUGCCACUUCUUUUUCUCUAUUGUGAUACAUAAUGGAACUGGCAACUUACUAUCUGUACAAUUUAAACAAAUGAAAAUUUUCACAUCUCCAUCAUCUCUUAGCUGUAUAAGAGUGGAUGGUAUAUUGCCAUUGAAUACAUACUUCAUCUAAAGAUUGUGCUCUGGUGGAUCUACUUUCAAAAUGUGACAAAUAAUCUUCAAUAAUUCUUCAUAUGUUAUAGUCUUCUUAAGUUCAAUAAAUUUACCUUGGCAACCUUCAAAGUAGUACAUGUUUCGAUUUUGCACCCAAUCUCCUUCAUAAAAAAGCAUUAUUCCCAUUUCAUCAAUCACUGUAACAAAAAUAAAUAAGUAAAUAAAUAAAUUGAAUUAUUGAUACAAAAAAAAAAAUAUUAAAACAGUAGUUAUUUGGAUAAGUAACUCAAUCCCGCAAAGUUGUCGAUUAACAUGUUGAAUUGUACUCAACUAUCUUCAAGUUUUAUAUAUAAAGAACUUAACACUAGUUACAUCUAGUUUUUACAUGUUAAAUACGAACUUUACUCUUUUCAUACAAAUGUUUUUAACAAAAAAUUUCACUCAUGUUUACUCUAAAAUUUUCGUUUUUUUUCCCCUACAACCAAAUAAUGUUGAGAAUAGCAAAACUAAGGUAAUUUUUUUUCCCAAAUGGGUUUACAUACCUUCAUUCGACCUUGCCAUAUGUUUUUUUUUUUUUUAAAUCUGCUCUACUUCUAUUACCUCAAUUUUGAUGGUGGGUUGCAGUAAUAGUGUAUAGGGACAUACUCACAAUGUUAGUAAGAGAUAUGCAGAUAGAUGUAGUACCGAUGAGAGAGGUAAAACUAAAAUGUUUUGCUUUUGGAUAGAUAUCAUGUCUUUGGUGGGGGAUCUUACUCUUCUCUGUUUCUCUAUUCUUUUCUACUUCUCUUCACUCAGCUUUAUUGGUGGGUUACAGAGAUGGUGUAUAGGGAUGUACUCACAAUGUUGGUGAGAGAGAUGUAGUACCGAAGAGAGAGGUAAAACUAAAGUUUUCUGCUUUUGGAGGGAUAUCAUGUCUUUGGUGGGAAUCUUAUGUGUUUUUAGAGGGAAAUAAAUAAGGGUAAAAAUGUCUAAAUUAGAUCAUCUCUCAAAACAAUUGACUAGUGAGGUUACUUUUAUAAUUUUACCUUUAUUUUGAGUCACCUGUUCAAAUAAGCCAAAAAAAAAAAAAAUAGAUUAUGUAAUAAAGUUGUUGGUUACCUCAGUAGCAAGAUGGCCAUGGCAUCAAAACUAGAGGAAAUGGGCAUUUGCAGAACAAUGGGCAUCAAGAAAGAGAAGUUCAACAAAUAAAGGAAGAUGAUGGGAUUGCAGGUGUGGAGAGAUAUGUGUAUAUAAAAGGAGAUAUUUUGUAAAGAAAAAGGUUGAAAGACGGUUGUUUGUCAUCUUAAUUUGUCUUCUAGUCGGUGGAGCAAUGAAAACAUGAGUCAACCGUUUCUGAAAUCCAUUUAGGAUUUUGAGAAUAGAGAGUAAAAUAUAUGUUCACAAGGGAAAUGCUGAGGAUGGCUAGCGGUCAUGAUGACAACUUUAUUGUCCAAGAGUCUCAUUGGGUGGUGGUUAACUAACAAUCAUAAGGAUAAAAUCCAUGACUGCUAUAUGUGGAUUUUCUCAUUUGUUAAUGUUCCACCCCAACUUAAAAUGCAAAGCCAAAAAAAGGGUCAAUCCUAGAUUGUAAAAUUCAUACCCUCGUCUACAUAAUUGCUAUAGAAAUGUUAAGGGUGUGUUUGGACACGUUUUUAAACACAUUUCUAAUGUGAUUGUUGACUUGGAAAUCGAUUAAAAAAAGCCACUUAAUCUUAUUUGAUGUUUUUUUGUUAAAGUUUUUUAUUCAUUUUAUUGAUUGUAAGGUAGGGUUGUAAAUAUUGGAUUGAUUAGUUAUAUGAAUGUUAUUUAUUCACAUAUUGAUGUAUUGAUUUGCAAAGGUUCUAGAAUCUUAAUUAAAUAAUUUUUUAAUAGUUUUUUGUUUGUUAAAUAUUGUUUGAUUUAUAAAAUAUUUAGGGAAAUGGAUAUUAAGUUUAUGCUUAUUAGCUUGACUAGCCUGACUAACCUGAAUAUAAAUCUAUUAAUCUGAAACUAGCAAAUUUAAACUUGAGUUUAGAAAAAUAAGUUUAUGAAAGAUGGUAUGAAUUUCGAUUUCUAAAAGAUAUAGAUAAAGAAUUCUCUGCACCAAAAAGAUUUGUAUCUAUCAUUGGGAAAGAAACCAAAAUUUAUGGUUGAAAAUGAAUGGGAUUUGCUCGAUUACCAAGCCUUUGUUGCAAUUAGGUUAACCUUAUCAAAAUCAGUUGCUUUUAAGAUAUAUAUAUAUAAAGAGCACAACAUGUCCCUCAUGGCCACCCUAACCAAUAUGUAUGAACAACCUUCUACAAUAAAUAAGGUAUACCUAAUUAUGAAGCUCUUUAAUUUGAAAAUGCUUGAGAACAAAAAUUUUAAGCAACAUUUGAAUGAAUUUUUCUAGUGAGAUAGAUCACAAGAGGAGCUCUACAAAGUAUGUGUUUACUAGGGAUGCUUAUAACCAUUAGUUGGAUUUCACACUUUAGGCCUACAACUGAAGCGGAGUACAUGGUUAUGAUAAAAGUUAGCAAAAAGAUGAUUUGGUUGCAGCAUUCAUUAGCAAAUUUAUGAGUCAAACAUAUGAUGAAUGUAUUAAAGUGAAAGACAUUUGGCUAAUUCAAUAUUUCAUUUAAUGACUAAAUAUAUUGUACUUUGUUAUCACUUCAUCAAGUCUUUACUUGAAGAUGGAGUGUCGACAUUUGUGAAGAUACAAGGUAGCAAGAGUCCAACUAACAUGUUGACCAAAAUAGUGAUAAUAGAGAAACUGGAGUUGUAUGUAGCUUUAAUGGAUCAUGGGUGAGGAUGGGUUGUUUAAGUGUGCACCAUAUUCAUUAAUCAUUAAAGGAAGAUAUUUACUUGUACUUUAGUUUUUAAGUGGGAGAUUGUUGGAUUAUAAAGUUUGAAUCAAUCUUAUCAUGCUACACAGGAGAUGUCGAAGAUUGAAUGACGAGUUUGCCCCUAUUGUAUUUAACCCUUUAUGAUUCAAGGUUUAGUUAGAGAGUGAAAAGAAAAUAGCAUGGCCACAAUUGAAAGGAGGAGAGUUUUCACCAUUGUAACUUUUGUAUUUCAUUUCAUUAGUGGAUUUUUAAGUGUUAGUGCAUUCUGUGGAUGUAUGAAUCACAAUAAUCGUUGAACCAUGUUAAAUUUUUUUUUCUCUUUUAUUUUUGCUUAUGUAUAUGUGGUUAUUUUAAUAGGUUGCGAUUGGAUUAAUUAACAACUUGACUCAAACCAAGCCAACUUGCAUAAGUUGCAUCCUUAUGAGGUUAGGAUUUUUGUGGAUAUGGGAUGGGAUGAAGAGGAUGAGGGCAUUUUUUACCCUUUCACAUUCAAGUUUUAUUUGAAAGUUAAAUACAAUUGUAUGCAUACAUUUCAUGUUGUAUGAUCUAAGAAAGAUGAGAAGAAAAAAAAAAGGUAAAACAAAUUUAUAUUAAUAUAUAAGAAAAAUAAAUGUCAAUAAUAUGAUCAUGUGCUUUAAUUUGAUCUUGUUGAUCUCAGUUCACGAUGACACAAAUUCUUGAAUAAAAAUGUAGUCUAAGGGUCAACUAGACUUGAUUUCAACUUUGUUACAUAAAAUGUGGUCUUCAUCUUUAAAAGAAUGAAAGAAAACUACUUAUUUUUUGCUUUAAUUUUUUUUCAUGGGCUUGCAAAAAAUAUCGAACUAGUAAAGGAUGUUCAAACUUGUUGAAGAUUUGUUCACUAUUCAAGCUCAUUUGUUACUCAAACUUCCAUCAAAAGGAUACAUGAGCUACUCUUGUUUAAAAAACUCCAUGAAUUUUUGUCCACUCUUCAAUUUUUUUUUUCCUUAAAGAAAAUGUUAUAAUGGUUUCAUUUUAAAUGUUCAUGCCAUAAACUUCAGCUUCCCUACUUGCACUACCUCCCUUUGAAAUCAAGGAUAGUUUGUCUAUGUUUUAGAAAGUUUAAAUAAUGAGACCAUUAUAUUUGACACUUCAAUUCAAAUUUGAAAUAUUGCCAACAUAUGAAUCUAAAGUUUAAAUUUAGACAAUACUUAAAAGUUGAUUUGUCAAUCAAAUUCACUUUUAAACUUUUCAUUAAUUAUUAACUUAAAAAUAAAUUAUAUUACCUAGAUUUUAUGCAAUUUAUAAAUUAGUAAAUUUAUUAUCAAUAGAAACCAAAUAUAAUUAAGAUACGUUAUAAUAUAAUUAACAUAUAUUCGACUUUUAAUCAUUUUUUCUUAUUUCUUAAGUAAAUUUAGAUAUAAAUUUUUUUUGAAGAAUAUAUAUUAAAUACAACACAAAUUAUAUUUUGAUUGGAUAAACCGAACAUAAUUAUCUUACCUUAAACAAAUAUUAAAUACAUCGGUAUAAGAGUGAAAGACUAGGGUCUGUUUAGUAAUUGUUUUUUAGAACAGUUUUCUAUUCUUCAUAAUAAAAUAAUAAGAAAAUAUGGUUGAUAAUCAAAAACUAUUUUUUUUUUCUUUUUUUAAGAUCUAAAAACAGGAUAUUUUCAUAUAACAUCUUUAAUUAUUUAUAUUGUUUUCCCUUGUUUUCGAAAAGUUAUCUCAUAAAAAAAUUAUAAAAUGAUUAAAAAUAAAACACAGGAUAUAAGAACUAUUUUUGAAACAUAUUUUAAAAUAUUAAAAACGGGUUAAAAACAAAAUCAAAAAGAAUGUUCUCAAAAAUAGUUUUUCAUAACUAUUUUCGAAAACAGCUAUCAAAUAGUGUCCAAUUAACUAGGUAAAAAAAAAACAUUUAUUUAUUCUAAACAAAUAUAAUUGAAUACAUUAAUACGACAGUGUUAACUAAAAAUAUAUCCGAUAAUUAUUACUUUUCUUUCAAACCAAAUACAACAUAUCACCAUCCAAAAAUUGUACAUGAGGAAAUAAAAAUACAUGUUUUAUAAUUUAUAAAAUAAAUAAUAAUAAAGUAGUAAAUAUUUUAAACAUCAAACAAGAUUGAAGAUUCUAUCCAUGGUAUGGAAAACCACUUUAUUUAGUCACGUGUGAUUGUCAUCUCUGCAACCUGAAACAUUUCCUCUAUUCAUCAUGCAGACUUUCCAGGAGUUCCUAGACCUGGGGAACCUUUACCGCGGCAUCCGGUGAUGGGUGAGCAACCCCUUUGCCAUCGAUGGGCUUCUUGAGGUGGAGCCUUGGGAUUCUCGCGACAACCCACUGGUGGACUCGGUCCAUGGCAUGGGUUUAGGAACUUAUCAAUGUCAGCCUCACCAUGUACGUGCAUGACCAAAAUCAUGCUGACAAGAGUCAGACAUAUGAGCCAUUUCUUCAUGAUGGAGAGUCCCAUGAUCUCUAUGUUAAAUUCCUUUUUCUUUAGCUUCCAAUGCGUGGCUAGUCAUGUGAAGGGAGUUUAUAUAGAUUUUGGAUAUGGAGACCUUUGGGGAGUCGAAUGUCUUAAUAUAGAAGAAGUGCUUAAAAUAAAGAAGGGCAAAACCCUUUUGUUUGAAUGGUUGGAAAAUGAUUUAGAAAAAUAAUUUUUGACAACUAUUUUAACUAUUUAAGGAAAAUUGUUGGUUAUUGUUCUGUAACGUAAAUAAAAGUUUCUUUUAACCUAUUUUUUAACUAUGACAAAUGUCAUUUAUUUGACCAAAUUUUUAGUGUCAAUGACUUCAAAAUAUUUCCUUGGAGUAAAAAAUAAAAAAUAAUUUGGUAUAUGAUUGUUAGGUAUUUUUGGGCAUAAAAUAUAUAUCUCACAUUUUCACAGUGAUAAAUUUCAAAUAUUUCAUUAAUUCUUUCAAAUCAAUGACUCCAAAAUUUCAAUUUACAAAGUUUUUGCCCAAACUUUUGUUUUCUUUGUUCAAUUCAACCGGUAACAUAAUCUUAGAACAUGCCCAAAUUUUGAUAGUGACCCUAAAAUGUUUUUGAAAUGAAGAUGAUAAAAUUAGUGUUAAAUAAUAAUAGUAACUAUCGUUUGUUUUGUGCUUCUGAGAGCUCUAUGUUUUUGCUAAACUAUUAUGAUGCUUUCAAUGCUUAAUUAUGUUAUAUGCAUAGCACCGUAAAUUUCAUUUAUAUAAUAUUAAUUUAAUUUAAUUUAAGUUUUAUAAAAAAAUGAAAAUAAUUCCAUAAUUAAAAAUAAAUAGCUUUGAAUAAAAUAUAAAUAGUACUAUUAUAAUAAAAUAAAAAAAUUAUUGUAUUUUUUUAGAAAAAUAAUAUUUUGGUAUAUGUUAGAAAAAUAUGAAUAUUAACGUCUUCAUAAAAAAAGUAUAAUUGAUUUAAUCUGUAAUUAGUUGGAUUAGUUUUUUAAAUUCUAAACUAUUUUUAAAGAAUAGAAGAUUUAUUAAAUAAUUUAUAGUAUUAAUUAUGUAUCACUUAAUUUAGAACCUAUUUAUAUAGUGAGAAAAUUUAGAAAAUAUGGUAUUUCAUAGGAGAAACAGUAAAGUCAAAAUUUAUAAUGUAUCGGUUUUGGUCUAUUAUUUUUUGUAGUGAUUAGAUUUAUUUUAAGUUCCAAAUUAUUUUUGAGAAUUAUUGAACUCAUUAUCAACAUAAAGUGUCACUUACUUUGAAAUUCAUUUUUCUAAUAAGACAAUUUAUAAAAAUAUAAUUAUAUGCAAAAAAGAAAUAAAAAAAGUCAUUGCAAAAUCCUUUUUAUCCAUAAUUUUUUUUAUUAAUUGGAUCAUUAUUUAAGUUUUAAGUUAUUUCUAAAAAUUAUUAGGCUCAUUAAAAAUUCAAUGCAUUCAAUCUUGUUUAAGUUGUAGUUUAUUUGUGUUGUAAGAAAAAAAAAAAAAAAAAAAGAGAGAAUUAUGGUUCUAUAUAAAGGACAAACAAUAUAUUCAUUUUAAACUGAUUUUUAUCCAUAAUUUUUUUAUAUUAAUUAAAUCAAUAUUUAAGUUUCAAGUUAUUUAUGAAAAUUUCUAAACUCCUUAUGAACUCAAAGCAUUAAGUCUUGCUUAAUUUGGAGAUUAUUUGUUUAGUAAAAUAUUUUUGCAAAAAUAUGAUGAAAUGCUAAAAAGAAACUAAACAAGUUGUUCGAAAUGAAUUUUAAUUUAUGACUUUCUAAUACUAUGAGUUUCAUGACUUUCUAGUACUAAUUGAACAAUUUUUGAGUUUUAAAUUUUUUAAAAAAAUUAAUAAAUUCUAUGUAUCAAAUAUAAUUUAAUUUAAAAUUUAUUUAUUUAAUGAAAAAAUUUAGAUAAGCUAAAGAAAAUUUAAAGAGCACAUCUAAUUUAAAGAUCAUAUAAGAUAUAUUGAGAUUUUUAGCAUGGAUAUUGGAUCAUGGAGAAAGAAGAAAAAUGAUAUUAUUGAAUAUGGAGAGAGAGAAAGAACGCUAGUAUGUUUAAUUUUAUUUGGUUUUUUAUGAAUUUUUUUUUAAAUCUAUAUUUUCCUUUGAUUUUUAAAAAUAGAUGAAAACUAUUUCAUUUUGUUUUUUAAAACAUAGAAAUAGAGAACAAUGACAAAAUAAUAUUAUGAAUUUUGAAAACAACUUUUUAUUUUUAAAAGCAAAAAAAAAAAAUAUUUUUAAAACCAAAUAGCUCUAAGACUUGUACACUUGUAGCCCUACCAUAAUUUGGAUGCACAAAUAGCGUGAAAACUAGUGUUAAGGAGCAUGACAUGCAUUUCAAGUCCAAAUCCUACAAGUUUAAACUUUAAUGAAAAUUGUUAGUUUAACGUGAUAUCAAAGCUUGAUUUGUCGUAAUUUACAUUUUCCCUAUUUAUUUGUUGGAUAUGAAUGUCUGUCUCUCCAUGUGCGGGUACAAGCUAGACUGAUAUUCAUUCUAAAAGCUUCAUUUUUGUGAGAGAAAAUGAGUGAUAUGGGUAGAAAAUUUAGGGCAUUUUUCAUAAGCAAUAGAUGGAUUCAACAGGCUUAUAAAUACAGGACAAUGCAGCAAGAAAUGUAUCUCUUGGGAUUUUUUGUGCUUCAAAAGAGUGCUAGCACAGAAAGGAAAUUAUCAACUUUUUACAUAGUACCCUGAAGCACAUUAUAGAAAGAAAAAUAGAUACAUGGACAGACAGUUGGGAGGCACGCAUCAAAUCCUUGAAGGAAUCAAGGGGAUGGUGUUUUGCAGAUAUGCAGAAGCAGCUCCAACCCCACUUCCCAUCUUCACCGGGUAUCCCACAUCCUUAAGUACCAUCUCCACCCCAGCAAGACACCCCAGCAGUUGCACCUGAAGAAAAAAUCAUUCAAUCCAUUAAUUACAAGCCUAUAAAACUUUGAAUGAAAUGAAAAUUACCUAUUUUAUUGAAGGCUGCAAAGCAUUUGUAUCUUGUCAGUUAAGUUUUCUAAUCCUUCACAACCAAGAAAGAAAGUUUAAGCAUUUGGGGUUUACUCACAUCGGAUGGGGUUAAAAGUUCUGUAUGUAUGAACUCCUUUUAACCUUAUAGAUGUCUUAUAAAAUUAUAAGGGUCCUUCAAGUCUAGAACAGACAAUGUCCAUACAUCCCUGACCCUGUAUGGGAGUUUGUUUGGCCUGCAAUCUUAUGGUUUUCCAACUAAUCUCUAGUAAUACUUUUAAGAUUCAAGCUAUCUAAUAUCAUAUAGGAAGAUGGGAAAUGAACCAUACAUCAUUAAGGUGGCCGAGAUGGCCUAUUCUGAAAACCUUUCCAGCAACUUUGUUCAGGCCUAGACCUAAGCUUAAGUUGUAUCUCUUCCAUGCCCUCUUGACGAUCUCCGUACUAUCGAUGUAUGGAGGCACAACCACAGCAGUGACGGUGUCACUGAACCAUUCCUCCCUUUGGGUGCAAUUCUUCAGGCCCCAUGCCUCCACAGCAAGCCUGCAGUAUCAAGAGAAGGCCCAUAGAAUUUAUAAUUCAGGUACAACGAACAUUCACAUUGUGUUAGGAGGAAGAAUAUUCACCUUGUUGCUUUGCCCAAACGGCUAUGCCUUUCAAUCACAUUGUCAAGUCCUUCCUCAAAGAUGAUAUCCAGAGCUGCUCUCAUCCCAUACAGCAGUUGGAUGGAAGGGGUGUAUGGCCAAAAUGUUCCCAAUUUAUAGAACUUCAAGUAGUCAUUCCAGUCAAAGAAAAAUCUCACUGAUUGUGCAGAUUUGCUUGCCUCUAGAGCCUUGGGGCCUGCACAUACAAUCCCCAUUCCAGUGGGAAGAGAAAGAGCUUUCUGAGAGCCGGUUAACGCCACAUCCACUCCCCAUUCAUCCAUACGGAAAUCAAGGGCACAUAUGGAUGACACCCCAUCAACAAGAAAGAGUGCUGGAUGACGGUACUCAUCUGAUAUUUCAAUACAAAAAAGAACGUUAAAAAUGAGAACCCAAUAGUGGAAAAUGACAGAAUCCUAAUGUGAAGUUUCCUUGCAGAUGAAGAUGUGGCCUAGAAAAUGAAUUCUUACCAAGGAUUCUCCUUACUGCAGCCAAAUUGUUGGUAACUCCAGUAGCGGUCUCAUUGUGAACAAUACAAACAGCCUUAAUAGUGUGUGCUCUGUCUGCUGCAAUUUUUUCUGCUAGAAUCUCAAGGUUAGCACCUUGGCCCCAUUCACUUUCUAUGACAUCCACAUUGAACCUAAGACGUUUCUGCUGGUCGAUCCACAGCAAACUGAAUUGCCCAAUCAGGAAUGAUACAGUUCGAUCUCCAGGAGACAAUGUGUUUGUAAGUGCACUCUCCCAUGCACCAGUACCUGAGCCAAGACAGCAACAACAAUAUGUAACAUAAAUGAAGAGUAAAUUAUCAAUCUUCCAAUGACAGAAAAGGAGAACCAGAAGGAGAGUUAUAUUGUGCUGCCAUAGCCAAACGAUCGUUUGAUCUAUGCAUGCAAAUAUCAAAGGAUGCCACAGAGAAAUGGAAGCUUCAAACCAUCCUGAUGAUUAAGAUUUCUGAAGAAAGCAGACUGUUAGUGAAUGCAGUACCUGUGGUGGGAAUGAGAAAUGGGGUUCCAGUAGUUGUCUUGAAGAUCUUCUUAACAUCCUCAAGAAGGUCUUUGGUCAAUGCUGGAAUUGGUGGAGCACGAUAAUCCUCAUUGUUCCGGUUCAUGGCCCGUAUGACAUGGUCUGGGAUAUUGACAGGCCCCGGAACAAAGAGAUGAUUUGUUCCUGGUGCAAAAUAGCGGUCCAUCUUGCCCUUCUUGAAAUCUCACUGCUGAGGUAAAAUUUUGAGAGAACACCUUAGCUACAAUGAACCAAUUAAGGGGGGAAAAAAAGAGAAAAACCAACUGAAAAUCCGCAAAAGUCUGUUAAGAAAAUCUGUCUUUUCAUUCAUUUAUAGGUUUGUAUUAAUAAAAGAACAGAGCUAGAAAGAAAAAACCAGAAUUUUCCUCUCCCCUCGAUCCAUUACAAUCAGGGGCCUAGCAAACAUAAAGAAAUUUUGAAGUGAAGUAAAAUCAGAUGUUACCUAGAUAAGACAAGAAAGAAGCUAAUACUUCUUCAAAAGAGAAUUUCAUUGUAAAUCCAAAUCCUGGUCUGCAAAUUCAGAUUGUGUGCAUAUUUAUAUUGGUUCUGAGUCUUCUGACAUAUGUAACAACAAGUACUAGUUUGGAAGAGUGCAAAAAGGAUAAGAAGAAUACAAAAACUGAAAUGGGUAGAGACAGUUUAGACAAAAACACCAUGUCAAGGACCUAAAUGGAGAAUAUGACUCCUAUUUUUUCCAGAUUGAGACUUCAUGCAGUUUAGUUGAUAUGACCAGCCAAGAACUUACCAACCAUAUAAUUGUGGAUAAUUGUUGGAACAAGACCCAAGUUCUUAGAUCAAAUUUUUCUUAAAUUUCGUUCGGGUAAAUGAAUGAAAUAUGUACACAAAAUAAAUAAAUAAAUAAUCUAAUUCUGAUAAACAGCAGGAAAUGACUCAAAAAUCAUUCUGCAACUUCCAGUUUUUGCUUUAGUUCCUGGUGAAAUGUAAUUAUCUAGACUUAUACCAUGCAUCAGAAUGGUCAUGAACUACACCUAUCAACCUUUACAUGACAUUAAUAAAACAAAAGAAGGUUGGAAAAUCAUUCUAUCAAAGAAAAAAGGGACAAUUACACUAAGAAAAUUAACUGUUUGUUUCUCAAGAAAUAUCUUUUCAGAAAAGUGAGGGACCUUUUUAGCGAGAACUAAAUGGAUUGAAGAAGUAGGAAAUCCUGAACAUUCCAUGAAAUUAAACUUAGUGGAAGCUGCAAUAACAACUGAGCAAGGAGCAAUAUGAUUCUCCAAUGACUAAAAAUCAAAGUACUCAUUUCUCAUGAGUUCAAAAUCAUAUUAAGUAUAGUUUCAAGAAAAAUAUAUCAUAGCUCAGCCAAAAAAAAGGGGGCAAAAAUCAUGGGUCUUGUUGUUUGGUACCAAGACAAUAAAUUACAUCAAACAAACCACUGAUCAGAGCCCCUGUUUCUUAUGUUGUAUGAAUAAAAGACAAUCAUUUCAAUACACCCUAAAAAGAAUUUCCCAUCUUACAAGAGCACACACUUUCCUAUUUCCCAACCAGGUUUUGAUGCCUCCAUAGCCUUUUCCCAACAUGACAAAAAGUAGUAUCUUCACCUUGGAAGAACCCAAACAAGCCUGAACUCUCCACAAAUCACCAAAAGUUUUGCUAAGUAUACUUCAACAUACAUACCAGUCUAAAUUAAACCAAAACCCCAAAGAAAAAUAGAACAAAAGAACAUAAAACACAACCUUUUCAAGCUGAAAGCAAUCAGAAUGAAUAAAAAGAUAGUGAAAUAAGACACAGAAAUGAAUGAUAAAGAGUUGAGAAGAGGAGAGCAAUAGAUUAUACCUUAAGGUGAAAAGAGUGGGGGUUGAGGGAGUUAGGCAGAGGCACAUAGAAAAAGAGGGUUCAGAUAUGAAAAGGCCAAAGAGGAAGAGGAAUUGAUUUUAUAAGUAGGCGGGAGGCCAAUCAACAUUGCAUCUGGCCCCCACUUUCCUCCAGUGUGGCAGAUAAGACUUGGCUUCUAUUAGAAUCCUGGGGCUGCCAUUCAAUAAUCUCAUGUAUGACGUGGCAGCAUACUACUGUGCCUUUUUUUUUCUUUUUCUUUUUUCCUUGGAUUUGCACUAACAUAUUUAACUAUUUUGUUUUUGUUUUUCCUUCUAGGUUUUGAAAUUUUCAUUGAGGUCCCUAUGUUAUCAUGCAAUGUUCGAGAUACCUCAAAAGAAAAUUUUAAAUCUUAUAUAUUUAUUUAAACUAUCACCCACCCGGUCUUUUGUAUAGACACAUUCUACAUUCAAUUUAUACAUCCUCACGGUCUUAAAACAUGUAUAUAUAAAAUAUGAUUAUAUAUGAUAAAGAAUCAUGAUAGAUGAUAUUAAAAUUGACAUUUAUUUAAAAGUGUACGAGAUUUGUCACCUUUUUUUUCUUAUUUAUGAAUCGGUGAUAUUCUCCCUCCACUACAAACGAGCAAACGUGAGCUCCAACCUAUUGGGAAGUUUAUAGAAUUAAGGGAUGAUUUAUUUCUUAAACCAAGGACAAAAAGGAAACAAAGUGAAUGAAGUAAUAGGCAAGACUAGAAAAUAGAGAGAAGAGAGGGGCAAAUAUGCUAAAACAUUGAAAAAGAAGGGGAGUCCAAAUCCAAAAGAUGAUUACUUGGCAGAAAAUUGAAAAUUCUACUAGUUUUUAAUAUGAGAGGCUGAGAAGGAAAUAUGAAAAGAUAACAUGAUAAAGGGCUGUGUCAGCCACACCCUCACUUGUGGGAACCAAGGCCACAUGCAUACCUCAUCUUGGAUUGUUUUUGUCUACAUCCUCUUUGCCUUCUCAGGUCUUGUGUGUGAACAUGUGGCUAUGUGGCCCCCUUUUAUUUUUGGAAUGAAAUGGUAGUUUUUUAUAUGGGUCUAGUAAAUCACCAAAUGGACCCUUUUUUUUUAUAUGUUCCAAAUUCGAUAACCAAUCCCACGAUGUUAUGUGUACAUCUUCAAGUCCAUACCCACACGAUGUCAUGUGUACAUCUUCAAGUCCAUUCAUAUGUAUCCUAUAACUUAAUCCAAAUUUGUUUUGACGCUUGAUCUAAAUUUUAUUAUUUACAUUUAAGAAUUUAAGUAAAGAGCUUAAUAGGUUGGUAGAAAAAUAAGGUGAUGAUGUACUACAAUUGGUAACUGUGGUUUUAAAAUCGUAAAAAAUAAAAAUAAAAAUAACAAAGUGGAAGUUGACAUGAGGAAUUAUUUGAUGAAUGUUUUUAAUGCAAAUUUAGAUGGAGAUUUUUAAAUAAUAAAAAAAACAAAAAGAUUACUUUGAUUGUAGACUUAGGGUUGGAUAGUGUUAGUACAUCUUUUUUCCAUCCAACUUACAACAUAAAUUUUACAUUUUUGAAAUUUAUUAAGGAGGUAUUUUUGUGUAAUUAAAAUCUUAAAAAUAUCAAAAUCAUUUUUUAAUUAAAAAUGUUUUAUCCUAAAUAUAGAGCAAGGAAAAGUAAUUAUUUAUAUUUUUUUUUCUUCCAUGGCUAAAGGUGAGGGUCAGAGCAUGCAAUCAGGUAAUGUGAAUGGUUCAGAAUCCACUGAAACUUCUGGUAUCAUGAAGGAAUCUUCAGCCAAACAGCACGCCUUUUUCUUUGUCUGGUCCUUUAUUUUACAACAUGUCUUAAAUUUUAACAUUUUUUUAAAUAACUUUUAAAAACACAAGAUAAAUUUGAUUUAUGUUUUUAAAAAUGAAAAAUAAAAAGCUUAUCCAAACAACAUUUAAGAGUUUCUUUACCAAUUAUUUUUUUAAAUAAUUUUCUUUCCAAGAAAAGAAAAGUACGAUUGGCAACCAAAAAACCAAAAAAUUAUUUUUUGUUUUUAAAAACGGAAAAUUGAGUGUUUUCAAGUUGUUUUCAAUUGUUUGAACUUAUUUUCUAAAAUUUAUUUUAAAACAUAACUAUACAAAUAUAAAAAAUAAUUAAAAAUAUUAUAAAUAACAAUUUAUUUUAAAACAUAGAAAACAAUUUUAAAAUUGGUUUUACUUUUAUUUGGCCAAAAGUCAUAGAUGAAAUCGUUAACAAUUGUUUUCAAAAACUAUUUUUCAGAAUUGUUCUUACAAGUACUUUCUAAAUAUAGUGCAACCACUCACCCAAUGAACCAAACCCUUUUGCAUUUGGAGAUGGACUUCCAAAAUAUUCUUGCACACAAAAGAAACUACCUUGCCACUCAUCCUAUGAACCAAACCCUCUUGCAUUUGGUGAUGGACAUCCAAAAUAUUCUUGCAUAUAAAAGAAACUAUAAGCGCAUUUGGUAGUGAUUCUAAAAAGUGUUUCUAAAUUUUUUUAAAAAUAAAAAUAAAAAUUUUCAAGUAUUAAAAAGACUAGAAAUACUACUAUCGAAUGUUCGAUGUAUGAAAUUCCCUUGUUUCCUAUCUAGGAGCUAUUUUACCAUAAUGUUAAUGUGAGAACAAUUUUAUUAUAGAUUCAUAGUCGUCCAUCUUAUAUACAAUCCUUGCAACAACUAAGAGAUAAUAUGGGACUAAUUGAGGCAUCACCUCCCUUACUUCAAUCAUUCAAUUAUGAUAAUGGAAAAUCAUUUCAUCUUUUUAGUUGAACUUUAGGCCUGCAAAAUUUCUAGGUACACCUUACAUAACUUUCGACAGUCCUCUCAUAAAGACCCAUUCAGGGCUAAUUGAGCUAAUGAGAGAGGCUAAUGGAAAUCAAGAUUUAUCAGGUACCUUCUGUCAAAUCAGAAAAAAAACAAAUAGAGGAAAGCUAUUGGUAGGGAAGAUAAGUUGCAUGUGAUGAAACUUAAUAGCAUGAGUUUAAGAUGAUAAUAAGAUAAUAAUUCAAUGUAUUUAUAUCAUGAGUUUAACAUGCCAUUUCCUCCACAAACAUCUACAUACAACAACGGAGGAAAAUGCAUAUAUCAACAUUUCUAAGGAAAAUUUUCAAAGGAGAGGAUCAAGAUUUCAAUGAUUCAAAACUGAUAAUGUACAAUUCUGAAAAGGGCAUAAUACAUAUAAAUGUCUCCCUCAUGUAAAUGUAAUUCAAAUGAGUGAGAAGUAAAUCCUUUCCUAAAUUUUCCCUAUAUACGUAAACAAAUCACCGGCCUCAUUUGAAAAGGGUUAAAAAGAAAAAGAACAAAAACAAAACAAAAAAAUUUUGGCGAGACUCCCAUCUCCUCCUUUAGUCUCUGCACAUAAAAGGAUCUUUGGCUUUUUCUCUCAGCCACCAUGUUUCAUGUUUGUAGCAAUUCCCCACUGAUCGUAUCCAACUUCUCGAAAGGGAUAUUCAAAGUUUUAUUCCCAUGGACGGAAAAAAAAUCCAGAGAAUGUCAAUGGCUGAAGUAAUAAAUUCCAACUGAGUGAGCAAUUUUUUGCUUCACUCUCUAAUUAGCGGGCUCUCAUCCAAUCAAAGCAUCCUAAGACUACUUGAUAACUGAUGAGAAACCUUGUCGGGGAGGAUAACCACUUUGACGCAUCCUAGAAGGCUUCUCAUUACCAAAACGUCUGUUAUCAGUUGGUCCUGAUCCAAGAAUCCCCAAAGAAUUUGGAUCGGGUAAACGGGAACCAUUGCUCAUUGGCCUUUGAGGCAGGGGCUGAGUCAGGGAAUGAGUGUUAAUAUUAUCAGCUCUUCUCCUCCGUUUCCAUGCUUCAAAUUUCCCAGCAUCAUGACUCUUAGAAACUGGUUCUGCUGUUUGAUAGGCAGACAUAUUUUUGUACCCUCUUGGUGGUCUCUCACCAUGGCGAUGAAAAGAAGGGAACUGACCAGGAUCACUGUCUUUGUCACCAGGGCCCCAUGCAGAACCAUUGACAUGAGAUGAUCCUACCCCUCCAUCCUCAUCUUGCUCCUGUUUAAGUUUUGAAUGAAUCUGACGAAGCUUCUCCCCAGACAAAUUUGAAAAAGUUGAGAUGUAAUUCCACAACCUCAUGAUCAUUCCUGUAAAUGAAACAGUGUGAGCAAGCAUGUUAAGGCAUCAAAAGCAUGGAUGAACAAAUAAUUCAAUCAGGAUGAACAAAAGCUUACUGUCUUGUUUAUAUUGUUCCUUGUCAUGCUCCAGAACAAUUUGGUCUAUCCUUCGUCCAAGAAGCUGCAAAUACUUCCGAAUUUUUGAAAGCACCUGAAGAAAAAUACACCCGAUAAAUACAUAGUUCUGUAAUAGAAUAAAGACAAUGGCCAGUAAAAAUGGUAGACAAGAAAUGAGAUGUACCAAAUCCUUUGGAAGAUUAGCACUAGUAGUUUGUAAUUUGUGAAGACGGUUCAGGGUCUUAAUCUCCGUCUUCAUGACAUCUUCACACCAUUCCAUCCAUUUCACUUCCCUGAACUGCUCAUAUACUUCUUCAUUACCGGACAUUUCACCCUCCUCUUUCACUAAAGGUUCAACUCUAUGGGGUUUAUGGGAUCUAUCCUUCCUCAUUUGAACGUUAGUUACAGGAAAACCAGGUUUUCCUUUCCUGUCCUUGCUGCGAGAUAUUGAGAUAUUCAUAAGAUUCUCUCUCUCCUUCUCCUUUUUAGAAGUCUUGCGACUAGCUUUGGUAUUGGUGUUCUUCCCACCAACAGCUACAAGUUCCUGAUUAAAAACACCUCUGGUCAGUUCUUGCAAUCCAGAAUCAAAGCAGCAAUUUGUGGGAAGAUGGAAACGGAUAAGAGGAGAAAUGAAGAUAUUCCAGGAAACCUAGAGGCACGGCCUUAGGUUAAAAACAGAAAAGAAAGAAAAGAAAAUUUGAGGAAGUUGGCUGAGAUGAUACUUUUAUGUACAUUUCUGGCAUAACCACCAACAUGGACAGUGUAUGUACACACACAUAAAUCCCUCCUAACCCAAUCUUAUCAUCAAUCACCUUUAUCCUAAAAAAUGGCACUCCAAGUUCUCAACAAUUCUUUUCAUAAGCAACACAGAAAUAAUUCAAAAUUUUUGAAGGGGUACAACAGAAAUAUAUCCUUGUACUGCUCUUGCCCAAUGCACAUGUUGGUGUUAGUAUGAUAUCAUCAUGUAAAAAAUGUCAAUAAUUUUAAAUUAAACCUUAUUUUCCAUUUUAUAGUUAUAUUCUAAAUUUAUAUAUGCAUUUAAGUAUCACCCAAUGUGUUUGGGGCAUGUAAGACCUAUAUUGAGCAUUUUUCCAAAAUUUGUCACCAUUUUGAACUCCUGGACCAAUUCUAGGCAGGUUCAUCAGUUACAAGUGACUAGGCUCUCACUCUUUCUUCUUCUUUUCUUUUUUUUUUUUUUUUUUUUUUGCAUUUUUGUUCAUAGCAAACAAAAACUGAACAAAAAUUUUAUUAGAAAAGGGGCCUAGUCAGUCCUAAACACAAGAUAUAAACACGCCCAAGGGUGAAACAAGAAAAGAAGGGAGAACGCAAAAGAAUACAAGCUGUAGCUCCUAGUCAGUCCUAUCAAUGCAAUCCAAUAGCAUAAUAUUGGCAUUCCUAAAAACAACACUAGACCACUGAAACAUAGAUUCAAGGAAAAAAAACAUAUCAGCAACUAAUCAGAGCACUCCUCUUAAAUCAUGCUAUACACUCUCAAUGCACACCAAAACAAACAAAGAGGGACUGAAUCUUGCACCAUCCUACACUGAUUGCCCACACUUCUACCAUGCCACCCCAGCAGUAACUCUUUAAACAACCAUGGAAACCCGCACUGAAUUUGAAACAAAGAGAGAAAAAGGUCCUAAAAACAAACUAGCCUAAUGACAAUGAAUGAGAAUAUGAUUUGUAGACUCCUUAUACCAACAUCUCUGUUUUUUUAUAAAUAACUAUUCCACAAAUCUUCACUGAUUAAAAAAAAAAAAAAAAAAAGCUCUUACACAAAUCUUCUUUAAGACAGCAAGUCAGGAGCAACAAACUACAGAUUACUUGUAUCAAUUGUUUUAAUAGAUUGACCUGCAAAGCAUUUUGAACUAUUGAUUAUUAAAAUAGACAUACACUAAAAAUCAUUUAAAAUGUGGUGCUUCCAAUUAUGCAGUCAAUUCUCACACCCAUAUUCUGUUUUCAUUUUUAAUAGAAUUUUUCGCCCAUAUUCUCCAUUCCAUGAACUAAAUUCUUCAACAGGUUGAGAUUAUCACAGCUCCCAUACAGCAUGAACCCAAUCAGGGAUGAUUACUAUUUUCCAAACCAAUUUAUUCUCACUAGAAAAGGGCCGAUAUUUAGCUCUCAACAUAUGAAGCCAUUGGAAUAAGUAAACCAUUAAUGAAUGACAGAACAAAAAUAAAAUAAGAAAUGAAAAUCCAGACUCCUUUUUGCACUGCACAGUGGGGCAAAGCAGCAGUUCGCUAGCAGCAAAUUAGUACAUUGCUUUGACUCUCAACUUAAAUAUUUGACUUUUCAGGGGAAGCCAAUAUCUAGCAAUCAUAAAGAAUCAACAAAGUACUCCAGAGAAAGUACAUUUACAGGCGAUCAAUGUGAAUUUUAAGCAGAAGAUGGGCCAUUCAGUAACACAGUUUAUAGGUAAACACUGAAACCAUCUUUUAUAACAUUGUGUUUUUUUUUUUAACCUCUUUCCUAGCUGAUCCGUUUCCUAACAUAAUAAUCACUAAAAUCUGUUUUCUGCUAACAACAGAACAAAAGUUGGAGAUUGCUAACAUAUGCUGAACAUUAAAU
Molecule: long non-coding RNA, 40019 nt
Filed under: Vitis vinifera (wine grape)
Lineage: Eukaryota; Viridiplantae; Streptophyta; Magnoliopsida; Vitales; Vitaceae
Description: long non-coding RNA (VVIN_LNC001923)
Source: RNAcentral